This 253-nucleotide ribosomal RNA is filed under the name uncultured bacterium. RNAcentral's name for it is "partial 16S ribosomal RNA". It matches the Rfam family "Bacterial small subunit ribosomal RNA", at positions 524 to 776 of the family's 1533-position model. The record is from RNAcentral.
GACGUAGGGCGCGAGCGUUGUCCGGAUUUAUUGGGCGUAAAGAGCUCGUAGGCGGCUUGUCGCGUCGUCCGUGAAAACCUGCAGCUCAACUGCAGGCUUGCGGUCGAUACGGGCAGGCUGGAGUUCGGUAGGGGAGACUGGAAUUCCUGGUGUAGCGGUGAAAUGCGCAGAUAUCAGGAGGAACACCUGAGGUGAAGACGGGUUGCUGGGCCAACACUGACGCUGAGGCGCGAAAGCCAGGGGAGCAAACGGG